Molecule: long non-coding RNA, 815 nt
Organism: Schistocerca serialis cubense
Lineage: Eukaryota; Metazoa; Arthropoda; Insecta; Orthoptera; Acrididae
Exons: 3
Source: RefSeq, a predicted model, not a curated record
CCCAUGUGAACUUAGUAGUAACUUUGCAGUGUGUCAACACAAAGUAGUGUGUGUAGUCAAGUGUUUCAUUACAGUUUUUUCGAUGUGUGAGAUGGAAACGACUUUCAAAAUGCGGAUUAUAAAAACAGACAAAAAAGAAUAGACAGUUGGCUAGCUGUGACAUCUAAUGCUGUUGAUGAAGGUUGGGACAACAUGGACAAAGAAACAAAAGAAGUCUUAGGGAAGGAUGUCAAAAAAGUGGAAGAGCAUUAAGGAUUGCUACUACAAAAAUGUGAAAAUGCACGAAGGAAAAGUGGCGAUUCAUUAAAAUCCAGGAAACAUUACAUUUAUCACAAACAGUGGUCAUUUCUCCGAUCUUUAUGUGUAGAAUGAGAUUUUCUCUUUUAACCACGGGACAUCUGGGAAUAUGACUGUCGAUCUAACAGAAAGUACGCAAAACGCUGGAAACAACACUGCACAACAAGAAGCAAGCACAACACCGGAAAUACAACAUACUACAUCCAAGCCCCUUGCAUAGCGCAAAGGGAGAAAUAAAGUCCUUUUCCGAAGAAACGAAAACAGGAUGAGUUUGAAAAAAAGUUGUUGGGCGUUUUGGAAACGAGUUUGCAACAAUCACAUCCAAAGGAACCUAGAACUAAUGAUCCAUAUUAAAUGUUCUUACUUUCGCAAAUGCCCCUUAUUAAGAACUUUAGCCCAGCUUACAAGAUGGAUUUUCAAUUGAAAUAUUGGUUCAGUCCUACACACAUGCACAGCCGUCCAGAAUUACAUCUGAAAGUGACCAACAAUCAUCUCAGACCAUAAGCAGCUCACCUACA